AGCAGCGUGGCUCAGUGGAAAGAGCACGGGCCUGCAAGCCAGAUGACCUGAGUUCUAAACCCAGCUCUGCCA
RNAcentral lists this transfer RNA (72 nucleotides) under Ornithorhynchus anatinus (platypus). It matches the Rfam family "tRNA". From Rfam's summary of the family: Transfer RNA (tRNA) molecules are approximately 80 nucleotides in length. Lineage: Eukaryota; Metazoa; Chordata; Mammalia; Monotremata; Ornithorhynchidae. The record is from Rfam by way of RNAcentral.